Ailuropoda melanoleuca (giant panda) is the source of this 5325-nucleotide long non-coding RNA. RefSeq lists it as uncharacterized. Lineage: Eukaryota; Metazoa; Chordata; Mammalia; Carnivora; Ursidae. The record is from RefSeq and is a predicted model, not a curated record. The transcript has 2 exons.
GCAGGGGCUCCAGCCGACGGUUCCAAUAGUGCUGUGGCGGCGGGAAGGGGGGAAAGAGCGAGGGGGGAUGAUGACAGGUCCUGAGACAGGGGACCGGCCCUGAGGGUGGCGGGUCCGGGGCGCCAGUGGGGUCCCUGAGGAGGAGGACGGGUCUCCAGCGGGACAGGUCCUGGGAGGACACAUCUAGGAUGCUGAGCGUCAGCUCCUGGGGUGGGUUUGCAUCCUAGGGACCUUGGUCCUGAGGGGUGUGAGAAGAGUUUUGGGGGGCUGGCUGGGGUUCUUAUUGAGGGAUGGGUCCUGGGGCGAGGGGUCGGGGAAGGUCAGAGGAGACCCUGAGAGGGUGGACCAACUUUGAGACGGGAAGGAAGCCCCUGGUUUGGGGGAAGCGCAGGGACAGGGAGGUGGGGAGCAGGGGUGGUGAAAGCCCUUCUGGGAAAAGGAUGUAGGCUGCCCCCUGCCUCAGGAACUUCUGGCAGCCUGCAGCCCAAGAGAGGACGGGGAGGGGGCGCAGCAGGCAGUGGGGGCUGGGGAACAGAAUGGCCUUAGGUGAAGGAGGAGUGGGGGAGGUACUAGGAGAAGCAGCAACAGAGCCCCCACCCCCGGCUGCCCUGCCUGAUGGCCUGUCCUGUCCUGACCACAUCUGUGUUGGGAGCCAGGCGGACCAGUGGGGGCAGGGGCAAGUCCACUUUAGUCACCUGAGCACUCAGUGUGGCCUCGUUUAGUCCCUCCUCCCACAGCCCUGACUUCCCAUCCAUCCUGACGCAUCCCAGCGCCGGCUGGGGAGCACGAGGCCUUGAAGUCCUAACCUAAUUCCAUCCUGGCUCUUCCUCCCACCUGCCAUGUUCACGGGGCCAAGGGCUGAACCUCUUGGCACCUGUUUUUUCCCUGUGAAGUUAAUGCGGCCACAGCCACGGUAUCGUCACCUCCCACUGCUCCGCUGGCCCACACUGACCAUGAAGUGGUGCCCGUGCCCAGCUCAGAAGAACACGGCACCUGGUCUUGGCGUCCCUGCUGACCUCCAGCACGCUGCCGUGUUUCUUUUCUCUGCAUCAACAGCUCGGCUGUCCCUGUUUCCCUCUGUGAGGUGCCCAAACUCGUCCUUAGGUCUGCCUGCCAGUGAGGCGAGCGGGAGUGAGCGUCCCUGCCACCUCCCCGCCCCCACCCCGGCGAGCGCUGCUGGGGCAGGUUGGUGGCCGCUUUUAUGAGCCACAGCCCACAGCCGGGAAUGCCAGGAACGCCGGGAGCUCCUGGAGCACUGGGAGCUCAUAGACAGCCAGAUGCAGGUGCCGGGCUCCUCUCUCAGUUCCUUCCACGCUCACUCUGUCGCAGACCUUCCUCGUCUUCCACUGGCGGAGGAUGUCGUGUUUACAGGGAAGACGGAAGCCCUGGUUCUGGAGCUUCUGCAGCCCCCUGCCCUCUUUCUCCUCCAGGGCAGGGGCAGGGCUGCCCUCCUCCCCUCUGGGAAGUGCCCCUGUUUUCUUAGGCACCUUCCAGCGCCUUUCCCAGUGUCUUCCCCCCCGAAGGUAACGAACUCUGGCGCACUUGGCUCUUGCCCUCAGGGCCUGGGCCGCUUGUGUCUGGUGGGGUUCAAGUCUAACCAAGCUUGUUCCCACCAGGUCAUCGGAGGCCCCCACGUCUUUAGCACUUUUGUUGCCUAACCUCUCCGCAGCCUUUACUCUGUUGGUGCUCUGCCCCUCGUAGCUGUGUCUUGGCCUCCGUGACAUUACACAUUGAGGUUUUGUCUCUUUGCUUCUCUCCUGUGCUGGCUCUGCUGUCCCUUCCCAGCUGGCCUCCCCCUCCUGUGGCUUCAGCGGUGAACUCUCUUGAACCUUGUCCCUCCGGCCCUGAUGUGUCCUGGAGCUCAGCUCAGAGGUUGCCGCACGCAGGUGUCGUGUGUGCUCCCAGCCCGAGUGGGCCCACGCUGCUCAUGGGCACCCACAAGCCCAGGCUGUGUGUCCUUUUGCGGCCCUUGGGGGGGAGGGGUGCAGAGCUGGGAACCACAGGCUUUACGAGGACACAGAACGCAGGGGGUCCCAGAAAGAGGAAGUGGAGGCUGAGCUCACAAGAGCAAAUCAAGAACAGAAGCCUGAUGCCACGAGGAAGGCGAGUCCCAAGGAGCGGGCCAGGGAGCAGGCAGAGCGAGGAAGUGGCCAGAGAAGGUUCUUGCGAGGCCCCCCGCAGGGAUCUUUCCUGGCCGGACGAGGGGAUGGGACGGAGACUUCUGCAAUCUCUCUCGGGAGGUCACAGCGCCCGUCACCCAGCCACUUCUGCCAGAACUCCCUCUUUUGUCCCUCACGUCCCCCACUUCGUUUUCUUAAGUAACUCAAGGGAUUUCUCUACCCCUGGUUCCCACAUGGCCUCCCACCUGGAUGAGUGCAAGAGCCUUGGCCUCCGCCAGCUCCCUGCCUCGCUCUGGCCUCCUGCGGAUCCCUUUCCCGCCCAGCAGGACUGAGCUUUCUGCAGCAUAAGCAUGGUUGCCCUGCCAGAAACUUCCCGGCCCUGCCGGCUGCCUUUAGGAGUAGGUCACCUGCGGUCUUUGCUGAUCUGACUUCUGCUGACCUUGUCAGCCUCAUUGUUCACUGCUCACUGGCCCUGACACCCCCACUCACAGGUACAACUGCACAGACACUCCUGCUCACACAUACAACCUCACACUCACGGAUACAACCUCACACUCACACUCACAGAUACAACCACACACACACACUCAUGCAGAGGCCCAGGUGGCAGAGACAAAGAGCAGAGUCGUCCUUUCAGGGAAGGAGGGCAGUUUCAGGCCGGCCUGUUGCCAGAAGGGCCCUCAGGAGGGCAGGGUGCAGGGCCUGUGACGAGAACAGAGGGCACAGGGCUUCUCUGGCACAGGGAGGGCGCUGUAGGGAGGGGAAGGUGUGGUGGGACAACCAUGGAAUUUUAUCACCUGCUUGCCCUGUGUGACCUUCCCCGACGCGCUGUCAGCAGUGGCGUGGCCACCGCCAGUCGCCCUCUGUUAUCUUUAGUGCCAACCGGUUUCCGCCCCCUGCUUUCCGGCCUUCCCGCACCUCCCUGUUCCUAUCACCGCAUGCAGCUGUGCAGCGUCCCUGGCCUGCUGGCCUCUGGGAGCCGUCCUGGCUCGGUCCCCACACAUCACCACUUCAGUGGCUUUUCUGCAAACACCUGCUGCUUCUUGGCUUUUUCCAAGUCACCCUGGCCUGUAGGUGUUCUGUGGCCGCAGGGCUUGGUCACACUCUUAUGCCUCCCAGACCCCAACUUCAGUCCUGGCCUCUGACCCUGGCCCCUGGACUUGGGCUGUCGUUUGCCUCCUGGCCACCUCUAGGUGCAGAGGAAUGGGGGUGCUGAGGGGGAGGGUGGGGGAGGGGGAGGGGCCGAGGGGCGUGACAUAUUGGACCUCGCAGGGUGGCUCAUUUGGAUUCCAGAGCUAGGAAAUUCUCUGUCUUUGGGGCUGCUUGGAAGUCCAGCUGAGGGGAGAGGAGAGGCCGGGCUGCAACCAUCGGGGUGGGUGGGGCUUCCGUCCCUGUGGUCCUGUGUGCUCACCUGGCCUCCCCUCACCUGCUGGGGCCACCAUCCCGGCAGCUAGGAGCUGUGCCCUCUCUCCGGGGCUUCCCGAGACCCUGCCCUCCCUUCCCGCUGUCUUACAGUUUCCCAGGCGUUGAGAAGGGCUGGCCGCUGCCUCGCCAAGCCCCAAGCUGAACCCGCUGAUGCCCAGGCCACCUGCUUGUGUCUUGAUCGCCGACUUGAGCUCGUGAUUCUCCCGAAUGAGCCGCACCAGCUUCUUCAGCUCCUCGUUCUCCCUCACCAGCCUCUCGAUCUGAUGCCGAAGGCCCUCAUAAUUGGCUUCCCUGCGGCCAUGUCUCUACCGUGGCGCUUACCUGGCUCUGUGCAGCUCGGCUCCCUCUACAGUGAAGCCGGGGGUCGGGCACCUCCCCAGCAGCCAGCAAAGGGCCCAGGUGCCCGGCAGGUCGGUGACUCGUGGAUAGCUGUUGAGUGAAAGCUCAUCGCCCACCUUCCUGGCCAGGGUGCCCUUUCCUUGAGAGGUUGGACACCCCUGGAUUUAGCCUGUCAGCCUCAUCCCGGGGACAUUCUACCUUGGAUACUUGGACACUGGGCAGACUUUCUUCCAACCGAGGUGCUCAAAGCCUUUCUCCGACUGCCGAUCCCAGGGCUCCCUUGUCCAAGCACCUGUCCAUUUCUGGUGACGUAGGGUCCCCUAUUCCAAGUCCCCCAGGGCAGCCCUCUGUGCCCACACUUCCGUUCUCUGACUCCUUGAAUUUUCCUGACUGUGGUCCUUCGAGAACUCAAGACAUGCCCCUCGUCAGGUUGUCAGGUUCCGAGAGUUCAGUCCUGUGAGUCCUCACCACGCUCCCUUUUUUAGAGCUAUCAACGCAGAGAUCUUGGCGGGCCUGACCUUGGGAGUCAAGUGCGCCAGCGUCCCAGGGAUCUCCACUGGCUCUGCAGGCGUCUGUUCUCAGACGGAGAGGACAGUGAAGCCCAGGUCUAAGGCGGAGGGCGCGCUCCUGGUAGGCAGGUGGGGGUGAGGGUGGGCUUGGAGUCAGCCUGAGGUGAGCAUUCUACCUGGACCUCACAAUGGGGCCUGCCCCCACCCCCUCCGACACCCCAGACUGUAAUCCUGCUGAGUGACCCCGGCCCCGGAGGCCCGGCCCGACGUCUCUUCAGCACUGUCUGUUUAUAGGACACCCUCCAGCGUGGGAGAACGAGCCUCUCACGGCCUUCCCGGCCGCCUGUACCAGCCAGCCCUGCCUCACCGUUGGCUUCUCCGUGGGUUGAUGCGUCUGGGCUGCUUGAAUCGAUGGCUCGGCGUGGCCGGGCUGUGGUGCCCAGGUGCUUGUCACACACUCGCUCGCACAUUGCUGUGAAAGAACUUUGUAGAGCGGUUAACAUCUACAAUCGUUGAUUUUAAGUCAAGGAAGCUACCUUCAAUCAUGUGGACAGACCUCAUCUGAUCAGUUGAAGGACUUAAGAGCAGAAAGCUGAGGUUUUCCAGGGAAGGAGGACGUUGGCCUCAGGGCCGUCCCUGAGAGCCUGCCUGAGUGUCCAGGCCACUGGCCUGCUCUGCGGAUUUGGACUUGUCGGCCCCGCAUAAUUAUACGUGACGGUUCCUUAAAAUAAGUCUCUUCACACACGAGAAACCUGACUGGCCCAUCUGUAUUGGGUACCAGGGCUCCUGUCCUCCCCAAACUGCUGAGCCCGGCUGUGCGGCAGGCCCUGCGUGGGAGUCCCGGUAUUGUAGGCCCGAAGCUGGGAGCGCGCCGUGCGUUCACCACACUGGAAUUAAAAUAAAACAUUUUAAAAAUAGAACAGGAAAAAAAA